UACGUAGGGCGCAAGCGUUGUCCGGAAUUAUUGGGCGUAAAGAGCUCGUAGGUGGCUUGUCGCGUCGGUUGUGAAAGCCCACAGCUUAACUGUGGGUCUGCAUUCGAUACGGGCAGACUAGAGGUAUGCAGGGGAGAACGGAAUUCCUGGUGUAGCGGUGAAAUGCGCAGAUAUCAGGAGGAACACCGGUGGCGAAGGCGGUUCUCUGGGCAUGAUCUGACGCUGAGGAGCGAAAGUGUGGGGAGCGAACAGG
This 253-nucleotide ribosomal RNA is filed under the name uncultured bacterium. RNAcentral describes it as "partial 16S ribosomal RNA". It matches the Rfam family "Bacterial small subunit ribosomal RNA", at positions 524 to 776 of the family's 1533-position model. The record is from RNAcentral.